GAUGAAGAACGUAGUGAAAUGCGAUAAGUAGUGUGAAUUGCAGAAUUCAGUGAAUCAUCGAAUCUUUGAACGCACAUUGCGCCCUUUGGUAUUCCAAAGGGCAUGCCUGUUCGAGCGUCAUUUGUACCCUCAAGCUUUGCUUGGUGUUGGGCGUCUUGUCUCUAGCUUUGCUGGAGACUCGCCUUAAAGUAAUUGGCAGCCGGCCUACUGGUUUCGGAGCGCAGCACAAGUCGCACUCUCUAUCAGCAAAGGUCUAGCAGCCAUUAAGCCUUUUUUUCAACUUUUGACCUCGGAUCAGGUAGGGAUACCCGCUGAACUUAAGCAUAUCAAUAAGCGGAGGA
RNAcentral lists this unclassified non-coding RNA (341 nucleotides) under soil metagenome. Its description in RNAcentral is "partial contains 5.8S ribosomal RNA, internal transcribed spacer 2, and large subunit ribosomal RNA". The stretch from base 1 to 120 matches the Rfam family "5.8S ribosomal RNA", at positions 35 to 154 of the family's 154-position model. The record is from RNAcentral.